RNAcentral lists this ribosomal RNA (253 nucleotides) under uncultured bacterium. Its description in RNAcentral is "partial 16S ribosomal RNA". It matches the Rfam family "Bacterial small subunit ribosomal RNA", at positions 524 to 776 of the family's 1533-position model. The record is from RNAcentral.
UACGUAGGGUGCGAGCGUUAAUCGGAAUUACUGGGCGUAAAGCGUGCGCAGGCGGUUGUGCAAGACAGAUGUGAAAUCCCCGGGCUUAACCUGGGAACUGCAUUUGUGACUGCACAGCUAGAGUACGGCAGAGGGGGAUGGAAUUCCGCGUGUAGCAGUGAAAUGCGUAGAUAUGCGGAGGAACACCGAUGGCGAAGGCAGUCCCCUGGGCCUGUACUGACGCUCAUGCACGAAAGCGUGGGGAGCAAACAGG